GUGAUAUUAAUACUAUUAUUAUUUUAAUUUUAAUAUUUUUGUUUUUAUUAUUGUUUUAUAUGAAAAAUUUAAGAUUGCAUUUUAUAUUUUAAAAUGAACACAAGAAUACUGAAACUAGAAUUGAAAUUUUCUUUCAAAUCUAACUCCUAAGAAUUAAAAAUCGAAGAUUUAGUUUUUAUUGUGAUUCCUGAAUUUAGUUUUGAUUUUGAUUCUUCACCAGAACUAUAUUGAAACCGAAACCGAAAUCGAACAUCCCUACUCGCCUCUACCCAUGGUUCAUAUUAAUCUAAUAAUAAUAAUAUUCUGUUGUAUUUCAAUUUGCAGUCCGCUGUCUUCAAAAACUCGGAUCAUUUUCUUUAAAAUUCGGUUUGUUUAACUGGCAACAAAAAAUAUUUACAUCCGAUCAUAAAUCACAAAAAAAAAAAAAUAUAUAUUUU
This 437-nucleotide unclassified non-coding RNA is filed under the name Hevea brasiliensis (rubber tree). Lineage: Eukaryota; Viridiplantae; Streptophyta; Magnoliopsida; Malpighiales; Euphorbiaceae. The record is from RNAcentral.